This 498-nucleotide ribosomal RNA is filed under the name uncultured bacterium. Its description in RNAcentral is "bacterial SSU rRNA". It matches the Rfam family "Bacterial small subunit ribosomal RNA", at positions 30 to 524 of the family's 1533-position model. The record is from RNAcentral.
AUUGAACGCUGGCGGAAUGCUUUACACAUGCAAGUCGAACGGCAGCACGGGGCAACCUGGUGGCGAGUGGCGAACGGGUGAGUAAUACAUCGGAACGUGCCCAAUCGUGGGGGAUAACGUAGCGAAAGUUACGCUAAUACCGCAUACGAUCUACGGAUGAAAGCGGGGGAUCGCAAGACCUCGCGCGAAUGGAGCGGCCGAUGUCAGAUUAGGUAGUUGGUGGGGUAAAGGCUCACCAAGCCAACGAUCUGUAGCUGGUCUGAGAGGACGACCAGCCACACUGGAACUGAGACACGGUCCAGACUCCUACGGGAGGCAGCAGUGGGGAAUUUUGGACAAUGGGCGCAAGCCUGAUCCAGCCAUUCCGCGUGCAGGAUGAAGGCCUCGGUUGUAAACUGCUUUGUUACGGAACGAAACGGACGAGCUCUAAUACAGUUUGCUAAUGACGGUACCGUAAGAAUAAGCACCGGCUAACUACGUGCCAGCAGCCGCGGUAAU